RNAcentral lists this ribosomal RNA (1021 nucleotides) under Cryptoclypeus oxysporus. RNAcentral describes it as "SSU rRNA". It matches the Rfam family "Eukaryotic small subunit ribosomal RNA", at positions 75 to 1103 of the family's 1831-position model. The record is from RNAcentral. Lineage: Eukaryota; Fungi; Ascomycota; Dothideomycetes; Pleosporales; Lophiotremataceae.
UAUACCGUGAAACUGCGAAUGGCUCAUUAAAUCAGUUAUCGUUUAUUUGAUAGUACCUUACUACUUGGAUAACCGUGGUAAUUCUAGAGCUAAUACAUGCUAAAAACCCCAACUUCGGGAGGGGUGUAUUUAUUAGAUAAAAAACCAAUGCCCUUCGGGGCUCUUUGGUGAUUCAUGAUAACUAAACGGAUCGCAUGGCCUUGCGCCGGCGACGGUUCAUUCAAAUUUCUGCCCUAUCAACUUUCGAUGGUAAGGUAUUGGCUUACCAUGGUUUCAACGGGUAACGGGGAAUUAGGGUUCGAUUCCGGAGAGGGAGCCUGAGAAACGGCUACCACAUCCAAGGAAGGCAGCAGGCGCGCAAAUUACCCAAUCCCGACUCGGGGAGGUAGUGACAAUAAAUACUGAUACAGGGCUCUUUUGGGUCUUGUAAUCGGAAUGAGUACAAUUUAAACCCCUUAACGAGGAACAAUUGGAGGGCAAGUCUGGUGCCAGCAGCCGCGGUAAUUCCAGCUCCAAUAGCGUAUAUUAAAGUUGUUGCAGUUAAAAAGCUCGUAGUUGAACCUUGGGCCUGGCUGGCCGGUCCGCCUCACCGCGUGUACUGGUCCGGCCGGGCCUUUCCUUCUGGAGAGCCGCAUGCCCUUCACUGGGUGUGUCGGGGAACCAGGACUUUUACUUUGAAAAAAUUAGAGUGUUCAAAGCAGGCCUUUGCUCGAAUACGUUAGCAUGGAAUAAUAGAAUAGGACGUGCGGUCCUAUUUUGUUGGUUUCUAGGACCGCCGUAAUGAUUAAUAGGGAUAGUCGGGGGCAUCAGUAUUCAAUUGUCAGAGGUGAAAUUCUUGGAUUUAUUGAAGACUAACUACUGCGAAAGCAUUUGCCAAGGAUGUUUUCAUUAAUCAGUGAACGAAAGUUAGGGGAUCGAAGACGAUCAGAUACCGUCGUAGUCUUAACCGUAAACUAUGCCGACUAGGGAUCGGGCGAUGUUUCUAUCUUGACUCGCUCGGCACCUUACGAGAAAUCAUAAG